UAUAAUGUGGACGCUUUCCCUAUCACUGUGAUGUUUGGCAUGUGCGCCAUUUUCCUCUUUGUGGCAUCGAUUUUACAGAGGCGGCUUCAGGCAAUUGCUGAGAAACCAAAGAGUGGAGACUGGGGAUUGAGCGAAAAGAACUCCGAGGCAGAUCCGUUAAACAUCUAAGCAAUGUAGAGGACGGACGGACCACGGGUACUUAUUGGGAGGUUAGAACAUGAACCCUUGAUUCAUCUUGUAUACAGCAGCAGCUUCUUGAGUAGCUGAUAUAAUAUUUUGAAGAAUGAAAUUGUACACGAAUAGUGG
This 306-nucleotide unclassified non-coding RNA is filed under the name Hevea brasiliensis (rubber tree). The record is from RNAcentral. Lineage: Eukaryota; Viridiplantae; Streptophyta; Magnoliopsida; Malpighiales; Euphorbiaceae.